Molecule: long non-coding RNA, 4783 nt
Organism: Gorilla gorilla gorilla (western lowland gorilla)
Lineage: Eukaryota; Metazoa; Chordata; Mammalia; Primates; Hominidae
Exons: 8
Source: RefSeq, a predicted model, not a curated record
CACUCAGGCUACUUCCAGUGUUGUCUUCAGAAAGAUGUCAAAGAAAAUACUGUAAACGUAUUUCAUAAUGAAACCACAAUCUCAAGAAUUUGGGGCUGACGACGAAGAAAAGUAAGAAAUAGAUGACCAUUUAAUAGUGAAGAGAAAUGUAGGGGAUAACAUGACACUCAUCCUGGCGUGAACAUGCCAGACACUCGGUGGGAGUUCCACAAAGUUUAAAGGUUAAUCCUGGCAUUCGGUUUAGCACCACAAAGACCGCGGAAGGAACUGGAAAAACAUCGGGACACCGCGAAAAUUGAGACCUACAAAGGCAGAACCAGGGAUCAGGAUCGCAGGACCAGAAAGGCCUUAACAGCGGCAGGGGCCACCAGGGCCGCGGACCUGCUGCGCGAGGAGCUGUCGCCGUAACUUCUGCCGCUCCCGGAUCUCCUGCAAGCGGCUAUCCAUGUUCCAACUCCUGCUUUUCACUACCCCGAGUACUUGUCAAUCUCCAGUGAACUCCUGUCCAACCUUUCUUCCGAGUCUGUGGAACAAAAUUCACCGGGAGCUUACGAACAGAGUAUCCUCAUAGCGUUCCUCAGUAGAGACUUCCGGCGCGGCCGGAAUUGGCUCGCUUGGCCCGGAAGUCCCGCCUCCUUCUGAACGCUUGCUAUGUGACGCCACUUGGAAGGGACCCAGUAAGGGAUCUGUUGCGCCACGGGGGUCUCCAGGGCCCUCGCAGGUUGGGGUGGUCUGAGCUAGUCUGAAGGAGGACAGUCAGCUGACUUCUCCUUUAUCUCUCUUUCCCAGGAUAGCAGGUUCCCUUGGUGUAUUACAGUUUCUGAAGUGUUGAUUCCCUUUUCAAUUGAUUCCACAGAUGACAGUCCUGACGUUUAAAAAAUUGCCAGAUAACCUUUAAUUUUUUUUUUUUUUUUAACAGAACACAAACUUAAGCCAGAUUGCCUAGGAUUGAACCUUGGCCUCUCACUUCCUAGCCGAGUGGCCUUGGCUAGUUAACCACCUUCGCGAGCCUCAGUUUUCUCAUCUGUAAAAUGGGAGUCAUAAGUGUCUACCUCACAGAGCUGUGAUUGAAAGGAUAAAUAGCACCUUGCACAUAGCGGUGUAGAAGUGCUUGUUAUUGUUAACAUUUUAUUUACCUUCACGCAGGUAACAGCCACAACAUCUGCCCACUCUUCCCCACACCUUACUGUCCCUUGAAAUGUUUCCCAUUUUACUAUAGUAUGCAUUUUUUGGCUUCUUCCCUUUAGGGAAAUGAGUGUGUGAUAGUAAAGUGUGUCUUGGUUUAUGUCCUAGGAGUCAGAAGCUAAGGGACUCCUUUUUGUGCUUGUACAUUUGUCUUAACUGAAAAUAACCCAAGGAUAAGGAAACAAAUAGCUUCCUGAAAUUACUCGGAUUGCAGGGGUGAGGGGUGAGGGCUGGGGGGUGGUGAUUCUGUCUUCAUAGGAUGGCAGCAAAGGCCAAAGUCUUAUUUGAGUUGUUACCAUUAUUAUUCACCACAUUUGCCAUCUUAUUUCAAGCCUACAGUGGUGGAAGUGGAGUAAGACCUCAUGUUGCCUCAAGUUUAAUUGGAAAUCGUGUGCCUUGUGAAGAAUGGACACUCAGUAGAUGCUUAUUGAUGAACCUGUUGGUUGAGGAUAACUCGCUAACUUUUCUGAGCUUUGUUGGAAAAACUAGACAGGGGUCUCACUAUGUGAUGCAGGAUGAUCUCAAACUCCCUGGCCUCAAGCGAUCCUCCUGCCUUGGUCUCCUAAAGUGCUGGGAUUACAGCAGGUCACUGUAUCUCUAUGCAUUACAGAAAAUGGCUAGUUAAAAACUUGUCAAGGCCAGUUGCAGGCAUGAUACCAGCAGUCUGGGAGGUAGAGACAAGAGGACACAUCUCUGCUGCUCCCUUCUUUCCCCAUGGUUAUGCGCCAACUUUGGUUUCACCAGGCCUACAGUGCUUCCCAGAGAUGGGGUUUUACUAUGUUGGAGAAGCUGGUCUCAAACUCCUGGGCUCAAGUCAUCCUCCCGCCUCAGCCUCCCAAAGUGCUGAGAUUACAGAUGUGUGCCUGGCCUAUUUUACUCGUUUUAAUAGAUAGUCUCAGUCUGUCACCCAAGCUGGAGUGCAGUGAUGUGAUCUUGGCUCACUGCAACCUCCACUUCCCGGAUUCAAGUAAUUCUCCUGCUUCAGCCUUCCGAGUAGCUGGGAUUACAGGCUCCCACCACCACAACUGGCUAAUUUUUGUAUUUUUAGAAGAGACAGGGUUUCACCAUGUUGGCCAGGCUGGUCUCAAACUCCUGACUUCAGGAGAUCUGCCCACCUCAGCCUCCCAAAGUGCUGGGUUUACAGGGGGAGCCACCGCGCCCAGCCUCACGGAAUGAGUUUUAAUUUUGAUGAAGUUUAGGUUUUACUUUUUGAAUCAUGCAUUUGGUAUGACAUAAUAGUUAACAUUUUAUGUGUGGAAAUAUGUGCAUUCUCUCAUUCCCUCUCCUCCCAUGUCCAAUCCAUUGGCAGGUCCUGUCAGCACCAUCUCCAAGAUAUAACCUAAAUGUGUGUACCUUUCUCCAUUUUUAUAGCUAUCACCAAGCUUCAAACCACCAUCAUCUCUCACUCAGUUGGUCUCCCUUAUGUCAUGUGACCUCAUAACUUAAAAUCUCCCAAAGGUUUCCCAUUCACACUUAAAAUCCAAACUCUACCACAGUCUACAAGAACCUGCCCCAUCUGGACUCACCCUGGUGCACUAACUCCCACCUCCCUCCAUCUCACUGUGGUGCACUAAACUACAGCUACACUCCUUUCUGUUUGUUUAUAUUCUCACCCAACUCAAACACAACCAGCUCCCUCUCACUUCGGGUCCUUGUAUAUGCAGGCCCCUCUCCAAUGUCUGCAGGACUAGCUUCUCCUCAUUCAGGAUUCAGUUCAAAUGUCAACCUCCCCAAGAAGCCUUCACUCAUCACCAUAUGUAAAGUAGCUUAUCUUUCUCAUCACUUUGUAUUAUGACUCUUUUAUUUUUAUAUAGCACUUUAUUAGCUGAAGUUAUUUAUUUGUUUACUCUGCAUACCCCUAGUCAAAUGUAAGCUAUCGAGCAGUGACCUUGCCUGUCAUGUUCAGCCCUACAUCUCAAACUCCCAGCACAUGGUGGUCACUCAGUUAAUAUUUAUUAAAUAUUGAACACUUCUUUUUCAAAAAGCAAAUUUCCUUUUGAGUAUUCAGCUACUGGUAGAUUAAACAUGUCCUCAAAAGAAACUAUUUGUAAUCACACUAAUUAAUUAGAGGAAAAAAGGUAAGAGAAUUCUAGUUUCUGAAUAAAUUAACUCAUGCUAAGUCAUGUCUUUUACUCAUGUUACCUGAGGUACACAAAUAUAAUGUAGAGUAAAAUAUAUCUCAAGUAUAUCUUGAUUCUAACUGCAAGAGGAUACCAUUAUUGUGUAGUCACAAACUCCAAAAACUAUGUAAAUUUGUAUCCUCAGCUUCAGCAGUAAUUCUAUGACUUACCCUAGGCAAGCCUGAACAGGUCUCUACAGCUUAGUUUCUUGUUUUGUUAAAGGGAUUUAAUACAAGCUUACCUCACCAAGAUGCUAUGUAAAACAGUUUCUAUUUAUUGCAAGUACUCUAUGAUUUUUGUGUCUAUUGGUGUGGAACAACACACUCAUUACAUGAUGGCAUCAAAAAUUUUGUGCCACGAAGGAUGCCAAAUUCUUGGAGAUACUAGAGGGAUUAUAGUGCAUAUGACUAAUUAAUUUUGGGGAUUGUGUUGCAGUUACAUCUAAAGACAAACUUGGAAUUUAGGCUGAAGAAUUGUCUCAAAUCAUUUUAAAUUGUGUUUUUAGAAUAUGAUACUUAAAUAUCUGAGGAUGGCCUCAAAACUUUAGUAGAAAAUUGGGGAAAUAUGCCUAAAUAUCUCAGGAUAGCCUCAAAACUUUAGUAGAAAAUCAGGUAAAUAUGCCUUAUAAGCUUAUAAAGUUAUAAAAUUUAUGGUUUUAUGUAUUAUAUAAAUAGAGCAUUGCAGACACAUUCCUUAUUUUGAAAUGAAAAAACUUUCUGAUAUUAACAUUCAUUUACUUAAGACCCUGUGGAACUCAAACAAAGCAAUAGAGCUGGAGAAAGGAUUGCUAACUUAUCCAAGAUAUAGUUCUGAUUCUGAAUGGAUACUAUCCAUCUUUCUCAAAGAAACUGGGACUUGCAAUAAAUAUAGUUUCAUAGGAUGCAUUAUGUAGAGUUUUUUUCAAAGAUUUUAAAAUGUCAAAAGAGCCUUAUAAUUACUUUACUGUAAGUAGCCAUAAUACUGCAAUAGAAUUCAGCAAAAUCAAUCAUUUAAUUUAAUUUAUAAAAUUAAAAUUUGUUUACAAAUAUAAAAUAGGUUUUUAAAAUUCUGAAGUCAUCAAAAUGAACUAGCUUUCUGACUUGAAUCGAGUCAUCUAACCACACUGUAUCAGAGAUUCCUCAAUUGCAAUUCAAAGGAAAUGAAAUAAUUCAGUGAUUCUCAAACAUUUGGGUCAAGGACACCUUUACCCUCUUAAAAACUGAAGACCUCAAAGAGCUUAAUUUAUGUUUAUGUGGGUUAUAUCAAUCAUUAUUUACCAUAUUAGAAAUUAAAACUAUCAUUAAGAUAAAAACUGAGAUACUUACUGAUUAAUUCAUUUAAAAAUAAGUAAAUAUUCUAUUACAUGUCAUCAUAAGCAGUAUAUUUUAUUAAAAAACUAUAUUUUCCAAAGAUAGCUUUUUUUUAAGAAGAGUGACAUUGUUUUACAUUUUUUCAAAACUGUUUAAUGUCUAGCUUAAUAAAAAGUGGCUGGAUUCAUA